RNAcentral lists this ribosomal RNA (598 nucleotides) under uncultured Thiobacillus sp. RNAcentral describes it as "bacterial SSU rRNA". It matches the Rfam family "Bacterial small subunit ribosomal RNA", at positions 917 to 1519 of the family's 1533-position model. Lineage: Bacteria; Pseudomonadati; Pseudomonadota; Betaproteobacteria; Nitrosomonadales; Thiobacillaceae. The record is from RNAcentral.
GGACCCGCACAAGCGGUGGAUGAUGUGGAUUAAUUCGAUGCAACGCGAAAAACCUUACCUACCCUUGACAUGUCCGGAAUCCUGCAGAGAUGCGGGAGUGCCCGAAAGGGAAUCGGAACACAGGUGCUGCAUGGCUGUCGUCAGCUCGUGUCGUGAGAUGUUGGGUUAAGUCCCGCAACGAGCGCAACCCUUAUCAUUAGUUGCUACGCAAGGGCACUCUAAUGAGACUGCCGGUGACAAACCGGAGGAAGGUGGGGAUGACGUCAAGUCCUCAUGGCCCUUAUGGGUAGGGCUUCACACGUCAUACAAUGGUCGGUACAGAGGGUUGCCAAGCCGCGAGGUGGAGCCAAUCCCAGAAAGCCGAUCGUAGUCCGGAUUGUUCUCUGCAACUCGAGAGCAUGAAGUCGGAAUCGCUAGUAAUCGCGGAUCAGCAUGUCGCGGUGAAUACGUUCCCGGGUCUUGUACACACCGCCCGUCACACCAUGGGAGUGGAAUCUGGCAGAAGUAGGUAGCCUAACCGCAAGGAGGGCGCUUACCACGCUGGGUUUCAUGACUGGGGUGAAGUCGUAACAAGGUAGCCGUAGGGGAACCUGCGGCU